AGGAUCAUUAUUGAUAAGUUUUAAUAUCAAAACCCCCCUUUGUUUAUAAUCUACCAUGUUGCUUCCACUGGACAGACCAGCUUUAUUUAUACAAGUUGGUCCUUUAGUUUUGUAUUAUUUUUGGCAUAAACUAGAGAGCUGCCAGUGGAUAGAAUCUAAAUAUGAAAAACUUAUGAAGAAACUUAUAUUGUCUGAUCAUUAUUGUAAGAACAAAAAAAUAAAACUUUCAACAACGGAUCUCUAGGCUCUUGCAUCGAUGAAGAACGCAGUGAAAUACGAUAAGUAAUGUGAAUUGCAGAAUCUCGUGAAUCAUCGAAUCUUUGAACGCACAUUGCGCCCUAUGGAAGUCUGUAGGGCAUGCCUGUCUGAGCGUCAGCAGCAAAAAUAUCAAAUCUUUUUAAACAAAGAUUUGGAUUUGGUUAAGAGAUGUAAUCCUAUGAACUGGUUACUCUUUAGAAAUUUAAAGGCAGUAUUGAUCAAUCUAACUGUAAACGUGAUAAAACAUUUCGUUUUAUUGUUAGCAAUGACCUUUUUACUUGCCUAUAACCCACUCAUCGUCUUGGGUGACCUCAGAUCAGGUAGGGAUACCCGCUGAACUUAAGCAUAUCAAUAAGCGGAGGAAAAGAAACCAACAGGGAUUGCCUU
RNAcentral lists this ribosomal RNA (645 nucleotides) under Peziza eriniae. Its description in RNAcentral is "eukaryotic LSU rRNA". The stretch from base 222 to 375 matches the Rfam family "5.8S ribosomal RNA". Lineage: Eukaryota; Fungi; Ascomycota; Pezizomycetes; Pezizales; Pezizaceae. The record is from RNAcentral.